RNAcentral lists this unclassified non-coding RNA (857 nucleotides) under Aspergillus fischeri. RNAcentral describes it as "partial contains 18S rRNA, ITS1, 5.8S rRNA, ITS2 and 28S rRNA". The stretch from base 389 to 542 matches the Rfam family "5.8S ribosomal RNA". Lineage: Eukaryota; Fungi; Ascomycota; Eurotiomycetes; Eurotiales; Aspergillaceae. The record is from RNAcentral.
AAGCAACCAACAAAAAAAAAAACAACAAACACAAAACAAAAACAAAACAAAACACCAAAAAAAAAAAAAACAAAAAACAAAAACAAAACCAAAAACACAAGCCCCCCCCCCCCCCCCCCCCGCCCCCCCCCCCCGCUGGGGGGUUGGUCCCCGGGCCCUCACGUAAAAUCCUUCCGUAGGUGAACCUGCGGAAGGAUCAUAUACGGGGUGAGGGGCCUCUGGGUCCAACCUCCCACCCGUGUCUAUCGUACCUUGUUGCUUCGGCGGGCCCGCCGUUUCGACGGCCGCCGGGGAGGCCUCGCGCCCCCGGGCCCGCGCCCGCCGAAGACCCCAACAUGAACGCUGUUCUGAAAGUAUGCAGUCUGAGUUGAUUAUCAUAAUCAGUUAAAACUUUCAACAACGGAUCUCUUGGUUCCGGCAUCGAUGAAGAACGCAGCGAAAUGCGAUAAGUAAUGUGAAUUGCAGAAUUCAGUGAAUCAUCGAGUCUUUGAACGCACAUUGCGCCCCCUGGUAUUCCGGGGGGCAUGCCUGUCCGAGCGUCAUUGCUGCCCUCAAGCACGGCUUGUGUGUUGGGCCCCCGUCCCCUCUCCCGGGGACGGGCCCGAAAGGCAGCGGCGGCACCGCGUCCGGUCCUCGAGCGUAUGGGGCUUUGUCACCCGCUCUGUAGGCCCGGCCGGCGCCAGCCGACACCCAACUUUAUUUCUAAGGUUGACCUCGGAUCAGGUAGGGUUCCCCGGCCCCUGAACUUAAGCAUAUCAAUAAGGGGAGGAAAUUAUUUUAUUUUUCUUUUUUUUUUUUUUUUUUUUUUUUUUUUUUGUAUCUUGUUUUGUUCUGUGGGUUCUGACGUUUCUAUUGUU